Molecule: long non-coding RNA, 1821 nt
Organism: Balaenoptera ricei (Rice's whale)
Lineage: Eukaryota; Metazoa; Chordata; Mammalia; Artiodactyla; Balaenopteridae
Exons: 3
Source: RefSeq, a predicted model, not a curated record
CUCGCGGCCUCCUCCGGGUCCCGCGCUAACCAGGCCCCGCGCCGCGGGUGCCCCGCCGGGCCCGCGCGCCAAGGUCGCAAGUCUCCACGCCGCGCUUGACCUGGCGGCAGCACCGUACUUGACAGCGUAUUGUCGCCAACACCACCCCACCAGCAUCCCGGCCAAGCGCUGCUCCCGCAAACUUUCUAGACGAACAAUGCCAUGCAAAGGGACUGCCUGACAAUAUCCCCAUAUAACAAAUACCACCUUGAAAGGGAUGCUGACCUCCACCUCCGAGUGUAAAACAACCUCAAAGAAUUUCCCAGGAAUAAAACUACCAUGCAGUCUUCAGGAAGAUGUGGCUUUGUCUCCGUUAGAACUUUACCAAGGAUCAUUCACCAUUCAGAACAUCUCAUCCUGUUGGCCACCUGGCUGGUGUGAGCUGAGUUACUAACAAAAUACUCCAGCGCAGAGCCUCCAUUUCCGGUUCUCCGUCGCCAGUGAUUCAUGGGCAUCUGCAAGCUUCUGUUCUCUCGUGGAGUCAAGCCUGAGCUUUUGCACACAGAAAUACAUUUUAUUUCAUUCUAAAUUACUUUCUUUUAUUUUUCCUCUCUAUUACAGUUUGAAUUUAAUACAGAUUUUUUUAAACGUGCAUAGGAAAUUACACUCUGUGAAUUUCACUUCUGAAAAUGUAUUGAAGGAGAGUUACAAACUACAUUACCAAACGAAGACUUUGGAUCUGAUUCUGUUGAGAACCUCACGAGCUCACCAAGCACCAGUGGUCGCAUGCAGUGUCAUUGCCUUCUGGGGCUGCAGGUUCUGCUUCUCAGCAUGCCCGAGGCUGCCUGGAGCAUGUCAGCCUCCAGAAAAGCGUGGCCAUGCCAGGGCUGAGCCCGUGUCUCAGUGACGCAAACUGAGGAGGAGCCAUCCCAGCUGGGCCUGGAACAAAGGCCUGACCUGUGUUCGUCUCCCUCUCUCUCUCUCUCUCUCUCUCUUUUUGAUUUACUGAGUGUUUCCCUCUCUUUUUCUCUUUUUAAAAAUGUUUCAGUGUUGUAUGCCAAAUACCGUUGUAGGUACUGGGAUAUAGCAGGGAACAAGCCACACUGGGUCCCUGCUCACACUUUUUAGUGCAGGAGACAAACACACAAACAAGUAAAUAAACAAGACAAUUGCAGACAGGAAGGACAUGAGGUUUAGUGCCUGUGAAGGCACUAAAACAGGUCACGUGAUGGAGAGGGCCUAAGACGGCCUAGAACAAGGGAGAAGUGGGGGGUCAGGAAACAUUGAUGGAGAUUAACCCAUAGUGAAGGCUUGGCCCUCCGCCAAGCAGGCUGGGAUGAAGGAAAGUGCUCAGAUGAGAGCUGGGCACUCACACUGAAAGAAAAACUUGCAUUGAAAAGAACAACUAUGAUGGUUACGAACACAGGCUCUGGACCAGACCUGUAUUCAAUUUCUGGCUUCUCCCCUUUCCAACUACACAAGCCCAGGAAAGUUGCUUAACCUCUGAGUCUUCCUUCUUUCAUUGUAAGAUGGAGAUGGUAACUGUACCUACCUCACAAGGCUGUGUCAAAGAUUAAAGGAGAGCUUAGUACAGAACCUGGCACAAUGUGAGUCUCAAUAAACAUUAGCCAGACCUACUUUUUAAAAACAUGGAAAUCAAGUAUACCAGCAACCAUCCUAACAUAAGAAAUUGAAUUAAAGUCCCCUGAUGUGCAUUUGAGUACAGAUUUCUCUGCUAACUUGUUGGGGGCAUUUGUCUCUUUUCUGGGCCUUGUUUUCAUCAUUUUUGAAAUGGAAAGAAUAAUACUCUUGGCCCUACUUCCCUUCCGGCACUGCUGAGAG